CCUACGGGGGGCAGCAGUGAGGAAUAUUGGUCAAUGGGCGCGAGCCUGAACCAGCCAAGUCGCGUGAGGGAAGACGGUCCUAUGGAUUGUAAACCUCUUUUGCCGGGGAGCAAAAGACGCCACGCGUGGCGUUCCGAGAGUACCCGAAGAAAAAGCAUCGGCUAACUCCGUGCCAGCAGCCGCGGUAAUACGGAGGAUGCGAGCGUUAUCCGGAUUUAUUGGGUUUAAAGGGUGCGCAGGCGGAAGAUUAAGUCAGCGGUAAAAUUGAGAGGCUCAACCUCUUCGAGCCGUUGAAACUGGUUUGCUUGAGUGAGUGAGAAGUAUGCGGAAUGCGUGGUGUAGCGGUGAAAUGCAUAGAUAUCACGCAGAACUCCGAUUGCGAAGGCAGCAUACCGGCGCUCAACUGACGCUCAUGCACGAAAGUGUGGGUAUCGAACAGGAUUAGAUACCCGAGUAGUC
This 459-nucleotide ribosomal RNA is filed under the name uncultured bacterium. RNAcentral describes it as "partial 16S ribosomal RNA". It matches the Rfam family "Bacterial small subunit ribosomal RNA", at positions 338 to 795 of the family's 1533-position model. The record is from RNAcentral.